RNAcentral lists this ribosomal RNA (400 nucleotides) under uncultured bacterium. Its description in RNAcentral is "bacterial SSU rRNA". It matches the Rfam family "Bacterial small subunit ribosomal RNA", at positions 355 to 771 of the family's 1533-position model. The record is from RNAcentral.
UAGGGAAUUUUCCACAAUGGGCGAAAGCCUGAUGGAGCAACACCGCGUGCAGGAUGAAGGCCUUCGGGUUGUAAACUGCUUUUCUUUGUGACGAAUAUGACUGUAGCAAAGGAAUAAGGGUCGGCUAACUACGUGCCAGCAGCCGCGGUCAUACGUAGGACCCAAGCAUUAUCCGGAAUUACUGGGCGUAAAGAGUUGCGUAGGUGGCAUUGUAAGCAAGAUAUGAAAUCGUGUGGCUCAACCAUACGGCUAUAUCUUGAACUGCAAAGCUAGAGAGCGAGAGGGGUAGAUGGAAUUCCCAGUGUAGGAGUGAAAUCCGUAGAUAUUGGGAGGAACACCGAUAGCGUAGGCAGUCUACUGGCUCGUUUCUGACACUCAGGCACGAAAGCGUGGGGAGCAA